Molecule: ribosomal RNA, 501 nt
Filed under: uncultured bacterium
Lineage: Bacteria
Description: partial 16S ribosomal RNA
Rfam family: Bacterial small subunit ribosomal RNA
Source: RNAcentral
AUUGAACGCUGGCGGCAGGCUUAACACAUGCAAGUCGAGCGGGGGAAGGUAGCUUGCUACCGGACCUAGCGGCGGACGGGUGAGUAAUGCUUAGGAAUCUGCCUAUUAGUGGGGGACAACAUCUCGAAAGGGAUGCUAAUACCGCAUACGUCCUACGGGAGAAAGCAGGGGAACUUCGGACCUUGCGCUAAUAGAUGAGCCUAAGUCGGAUUAGCUAGUUGGUGGGGUAAAGGCCUACCAAGGCGACGAUCUGUAGCGGGUCUGAGAGGAUGAUCCGCCACAGUGGGACUGAGACAAGGCCCAGACUCCUCCGGGAGGAAGCAGUGGGGAAUAUUGGACAAUGGGGGGAACCCUGAUCCAGCCAUGCCGCGUGUGUGAAGAAGGCCUUAUGGUUGUAAAGCACUUUAAGCGAGGAGGAGGCUACUUUAGUUAAUACCUAGAGAUAGUGGACGUUACUCGCAGAAUAAGCACCGGCUAACUCUGUGCCAGCCGCCGCCGUAA